Molecule: non-coding RNA, 24 nt
Filed under: Arabidopsis thaliana (thale cress)
Lineage: Eukaryota; Viridiplantae; Streptophyta; Magnoliopsida; Brassicales; Brassicaceae
Source: RNAcentral
CUAUAUAUACAUUUUUGCAGCCAU